GAUGAACGCUGGCGGCGUGCCUAAUACAUGCAAGUCGAGCGAGCAGACGAGGAGCUUGCUCCUCUGACGUUAGCGGCGGACGGGUGAGUAACACGUGGAUAACCUACCUAUAAGACUGGGAUAACUUCGGGAAACCGGAGCUAAUACCGGAUAAUAUAUUGAACCGCAUGGUUCAAUAGUGAAAGACGGUUUUGCUGUCACUUAUAGAUGGAUCCGCGCCGCAUUAGCUAGUUGGUAAGGUAACGGCUUACCAAGGCAACGAUGCGUAGCCGACCAGAGGGGGUGAUCGGCCACACUGGAACUGAGACACGGUCCAGACUCCUACGGGAGGCAGCAGAAGGGAAUCUUCCGCAAUGGGCGAAAGCCUGACGGAGCAACGCCGCGUGAGUGAUGAAGGUCUUCGGAUCGUAAAACUCUGUUAUUAGGGAAGAACAAAUGUGUAAGUAACUAUGCACGUCUUGACGGUACCUAAUCAGAAAGCCACGGCUAACUACGUG
Molecule: ribosomal RNA, 497 nt
Filed under: uncultured bacterium
Lineage: Bacteria
Description: partial 16S ribosomal RNA
Rfam family: Bacterial small subunit ribosomal RNA
Source: RNAcentral